ACNNCGAAGAGGUCACACCCGUUCCCAUGCCGAACACGGAAGUUAAGCUCUUCAGCGCCGAUGGUAGUCGGGGGUUUCCCCCUGUGAGAGUAGGACGCCGCCAAGC
This 106-nucleotide ribosomal RNA is filed under the name Bacillus velezensis. The record is from RNAcentral. Lineage: Bacteria; Bacillati; Bacillota; Bacilli; Caryophanales; Bacillaceae.